Molecule: ribosomal RNA, 396 nt
Filed under: uncultured bacterium
Lineage: Bacteria
Description: partial 16S ribosomal RNA
Rfam family: Bacterial small subunit ribosomal RNA
Source: RNAcentral
AUACGUAGGGUGCGAGCGUUGUCCGGAAUUACUGGGCGUAAAGAGCUCGUAGGUGGUUUGUCGCGUCGUCUGUGAAAUUCCGGGGCUUAACUCCGGGCGUGCAGGCGAUACGGGCAUAACUUGAGUACUGUAGGGGAGACUGGAAUUCCUGGUGUAGCGGUGAAAUGCGCAGAUAUCAGGAGGAACACCGGUGGCGAAGGCGGGUCUCUGGGCAGUAACUGACGCUGAGGAGCGAAAGCAUGGGUGGGGACCAGGAUUAGAUACCCUGGUAGUCCAUGCCGUAAACGGUGGGCGCUAGGUGUAGGGGUCUUCCACGACUUCUGUGCCGUAGCUAACGCAUUAAGCGCCCCGCCUGGGGAGUACGGCCGCAAGGCUAAAACUCAAAGGAAUUGACGG